RNAcentral lists this ribosomal RNA (368 nucleotides) under uncultured organism. Its description in RNAcentral is "bacterial SSU rRNA". It matches the Rfam family "Bacterial small subunit ribosomal RNA", at positions 526 to 896 of the family's 1533-position model. The record is from RNAcentral.
CGAAGGUGGCAAGCGUUGUUCGGAUUUACUGGGCGUACAGGGAGCGUAGGCGGUUGGAUAAGCCCUCCGUGAAAUCACCAGGCUUAACCUGGAAAGUGCAGAGGGGACUGUUCAGCUAGAGGAUGGGAGAGGAGCGCGGAAUUCCCGGUGUAGCGGUGAAAUGCGUAGAGAUCGGGAGGAAGGCCGGUGGCGAAGGCGGCGCUCUGGAACAUUUCUGACGCUGAGGCUCGAAAGCGUGGGGAGCAAACAGGAUUAGAUACCCUGGUAGUCCACGCCUUAAACGAUGGAUACUAAGUGUCGGCGGGUUACCGCCGGUGCCGCAGCUAACGCAGUAAGUAUCCCGCCUGGGAAGUACGGCCGCAAGGUUG